This 465-nucleotide ribosomal RNA is filed under the name uncultured bacterium. Its description in RNAcentral is "partial 16S ribosomal RNA". It matches the Rfam family "Bacterial small subunit ribosomal RNA", at positions 338 to 795 of the family's 1533-position model. The record is from RNAcentral.
CCUACGGGAGGCAGCAGUAGGGAAUCUUCCACAAUGGGCGAAAGCCUGAUGGAGCAACGCCGCGUGAGUGAAGAAGGUCUUCGGAUCGUAAAACCCUUUUGUUAGAGAAGAAAGUGCGUGAAAGUAACUGUUCACGUUUCGACGGUAUCUAACCAGAAAGCCACGGCUAACUACGUGCCAGCAGCCGCGUUAAUACGUAGGUGGCAAGCGUUAUCCGAAUUGAUUGUGCGUAAAGGGAACGCAGGCGGUCUUUUAAAUCUGAUGUGAAAGCCUUCGGCUUAACCGGAGGAGUGCAUUGGAAACUGGGAGACUGGAGUGCAGAAGAGGAGAGCGGAAUGCCAGGUGUAGCGGUGAAAUGCGUAGAUAUAUGGAAGAACACCAGUGGCGAAAGCGGCUCUCUGGGCUGUAACUGACGCUGAGGGUCGAAAGCGUGGGUAGCAAACAGGAUUAGAUACCCUAGUAGUC